UCUGCUGUCCGCACGGAGAGCGAAGCAUUAAAAAUAAAAAUAAACAUUUUGGGGGAAUGUAACUUUGUACAGGAAGAAAGCUAACACGAAAGCGUCGUAUGAUUGGCCAUUCUGACUGUUUUUUUUUGUAUCAAACAUUGAGAUUUGUUGACAAAUUGCCUUUGUUAGCUGGUAACUCAACCAACUUGGUCUGAAGCGGCGGGUGGUAGAUGGUUGUCCCCCGCUCACUGAGCGGUGUGUCUCGGCAGGAGGAGCGCAUCGACUCCGCUUCAUUGGCAGCAGAGAACUGGAAGGAGAGGCGGCCAAAGAAAGAAUUGGUUUUGGGGGUGACCAGAGAGAUAUACCUGCUGGAGCGCGUGCUACAGGGCCAACAGGCAAGGUCCUUACUUGCUCCCCCUUCCACUUGCCUCUUCCAGUUCUGCGGUAAUGCUGCAAUUAGUUGGGUUGCAGCGGCGACAACCAACAGGCACAUGCAGGAUGAGGAGGCGGAGCUGAAGCUCAGCUGACCCCACCCAUUUAGUGUGACCUCCCUCCUACCCUCACCCAUCCAGCCAGCCGGGCCCAUGUUCUCUCCAGAGCAGGAAAAUAUCUCCCCCUCCUCCACCUCCUCCUCCAAAGUGCCGGUGAAAUAUGGAGAGCUCAUGGUGCUGGGGUAAGGAGCCAACCACAUUAUAAC
Long non-coding RNA from Oncorhynchus tshawytscha (Chinook salmon), 676 nucleotides. NCBI's taxonomy places the organism in Eukaryota, Metazoa, Chordata, Actinopteri, Salmoniformes, Salmonidae. The record is from Ensembl.